UGCCAGCCGCCGCGGUAAGACGGAGGGCACAAACGUUGUUCGGAAUCACUGGGCGUAAAGCGCGUGUAGGCGGUUCGUUAAGUCUGAUGUGAAAGCCCGGGGCUCAACCCCGGAAGUGCAUUGGAAACUGGCGAACUAGAGUAUGGUAGAGGGAAGUGGAAUUUCCGGUGUAGCGGUGAAAUGCGUAGAUAUCGGAAGGAACACCAGAGGCGAAGGCGGUCACCUGGCUCGCAACUGACGCUGAGGCGCGAAAGCGUGGGCAGCAAACAGGAUUAGAUA
RNAcentral lists this ribosomal RNA (279 nucleotides) under uncultured bacterium. Its description in RNAcentral is "partial 16S ribosomal RNA". It matches the Rfam family "Bacterial small subunit ribosomal RNA", at positions 506 to 784 of the family's 1533-position model. The record is from RNAcentral.